RNAcentral lists this unclassified non-coding RNA (352 nucleotides) under soil metagenome. Its description in RNAcentral is "partial contains 5.8S ribosomal RNA, internal transcribed spacer 2, and large subunit ribosomal RNA". The stretch from base 1 to 120 matches the Rfam family "5.8S ribosomal RNA", at positions 35 to 154 of the family's 154-position model. The record is from RNAcentral.
GAUGAAGAACGUAGCGAAAUGCGAUAAGUCAUGUGAAUUGCAGAAUUCAGUGAAUCAUCGAAUCUUUGAACGCACAUUGCGCCCGCCAGUAUUCUGGCGGGCAUGCCUGUUCGAGCGUCAUUACAACCCUCAGGCCCCCGGGCCUGGCGUUGGGGAUCGGCGGAGCCCCCCGUGGGCACACGCCGUCCCCCAAAUGCAGUGGCGGUCCCGCCGCAGCUUCCAUCGCGUAGUAGCUAACACCUCGCGACUGGAGAGCGGCGCGGCCACGCCGUAAAACACCCAACUCUUCUGAAGUUGACCUCGAAUCAGGUAGGAAUACCCGCUGAACUUAAGCAUAUCAAUAAGCGGAGGA